Molecule: long non-coding RNA, 908 nt
Filed under: Linum usitatissimum (flax)
Lineage: Eukaryota; Viridiplantae; Streptophyta; Magnoliopsida; Malpighiales; Linaceae
Description: long non-coding RNA (LUSI_LNC008104)
Source: RNAcentral
AAAAAUAAACCGGGGCAUCUAGGAAAACUUUUACAAAUUCAAUUUGAAAUUAAAAUUUAAAAUAAAAAAUACAUAUUCUCUAUUAUCCUCAUCAAAUCAUAUCUUUUUUUUUCAUUUCUCUCAUCUUUCUCCUUUACUCCUCUGGGUGCUUCUUCACUGAAUCUGGCGAUGACCAUGUUGAAACUUGGUAGAGAAGCUCAAUAGUUGAAGAACAGAGAUUUCAGAUCCAUCGCCGACACCCAGAGGAAGAGCAGCACUAGCCAAACGACACCUCCCGAUUUGCACGCCGUACACCAAGAUUCUCAUCGUCGUGUUCUUGCUACUUCCUUUGUAGCAUGCGGUUCGUCCCCGCUACUGCAAAGAUGUGAUGAUUGGUUAGUCUGAAACCCCACCUUCAGUCUCUCCCCCUUUUCAACUUUUCUGCUUGUGGUGAUUUGAUGAAAGAUUUUGUUUCUUAUGAUGGGUUUAGCAAUUUAGGGCCAAUUUGAGAAUGGGUAAGAUUGAUUUAUAUUAUCUUGUUGAAAGAUUAGUUUUUUUUAACCUGUGGGAUUGAUAUGGGUUUCAAGUGUGCUAAUUGUUGUUAUUAUUAUGUUUAAGGCGUUUGUUGUUUUUUAAUACUCCCCUCCCUGUUUAUUUCUAUACUUGUAAAUAUAUUCAUAUGAUUUUAUUUCUAUAAUGUACACAUUUUUCUUUUUAAGAUGUAACCAGGAGAAAUAUAUUAAUAUUGAUCUGAUUAGAGUAGACACAACAGAGUACUGUAGAUUGAGAUUUAUGGAUGAGAUGGUUACAAUACCAAUGGAGACAGAGAGGACGAGCUAGAUGAGAAGCAGGAGUUUGCACUUUUUUUAUUGUAUUUUUUUGAGUAAAUAUUUAAAAUUAAUUAGUGAUUUAUUAUGUGGCGAAAGUUU